CCUUAAGCUGUUUAGAAUUUAGUGGAAUCCUUUGGGAAGAGGAGCGAUACAAGGUGAUAGCCCUGUACACGACGGAUUCUUUACAGUGAAAUCGAGUAGGUCGGGACACGUGUUAUCUUGACUGAACAGGUAUCGUUAACUGAAUACAUAGGUUAACGAGGCAAACGAGGGGAACUGAAACAUCUAAGUACCCUUAGGAAAAGAAAUCAACCGAGAUUCCCCUAGUAGCGGCGAGCGAACGGGGAGCAGCCCUUAAGCUGUUUAGAAUUUAGUGGAAUCCUUUGGGAAGAGGAGCGAUACAAGGUGAUAGCCCUGUACACGACGGAUUCUUUACAGUGAAAUCGAGUAGGUCGGGACACGUGUUAUCUUGACUGAAUAUGGGGGGACCAUCCUCCAAGGCUAAAUACUCCUAACUGACCGAUAGUGAACCAGUACCGUGAGGGAAAGGCGAAAAGAACCCCUGUGAGGGGAGUGAAAUAGAACCUGAAACCGUAUACGUACAAGCAGUGGGAGCCACUUCGUGUGGUGACUGCGUACCUUUUGUAUAAUGGGUCAGCGACUUAUAUUUAGUAGCAAGGUUAAGUGAAUAACGGAGCCGUAGCGAAAGCGAGUGUUAACUGCGCGUUUAGUUGCUAGGUAUAGACCCGAAACCCGGUGAUCUAGCCAUGRGCAGGUUGAAGGUUGAGUAACAUCAACUGGAGGACCGAACCCACUAACGUUGAAAAGUUAGGGGAUGACYUGUGGCUGGGGGUGAAAGGCCAAUCAAACCGGGAGAUAGCUGGUUCUCCCCGAAAUCUAUUUAGGUAGAGCCUCGGACGAAUUCCAUUGGGGGUAGAGCACUGUUAAGGCUAGGGGGUCAUCCCGACUUACCAACCCUUUGCAAACUCCGAAUACCAAUGAGAACUAUCCGGGAGACACACGGCGGGUGCUAACGUCCGUCGUGGAGAGGGAAACAACCCAGACCGCCAGCUAAGGUCCCAAAAUAUUGCUAAGUGGGAAACGAUGUGGGAAGGCAUAGACAGCUAGGAGGUUGGCUUAGAAGCAGCCACCCUUUAAAGAAAGCGUAAUAGCUCACUAGUCGAGUCGGCCUGCGCGGAAGAUGUAACGGGGCUAAGCAAUAUACCGAAGCUGCGGCAGCAWGUUUACWUGCUGGGUAGGGGAGCGUUGUGUAAGUGGAUGAAGGUGAGUUGUAAAGCUUGCUGGACAUAUCACAAGUGCGAAUGCUGACAUGAGUAACGAUAAUGGGAGUGAAAAACUCCCACGCCGGAAGACCAAGGUUUCCUGUCCCAUGCUAAUCAGGGCAGGGUAAGUCGGCCCCUAAGGCGAGGCAGAAAUGCGUAGUCGAUGGGAAACGGGUUAAUAUUCCCGUACUUAUAUAAUCAGUGAUGGAGGGACGGAGAAGGCUAGGCAAGCUUGGCGUUGGUUGUCCAAGUGAAAGUGAGUAGGCUGAAGCCCCGGUAAACGGCGGCCGUAACUAUAACGGUCCUAAGGUAGCGAAAUUCCUUGUCGGGUAAGUUCCGACCUGCACGAAUGGUGUAACCAUGGCCACGCUGUCUCCACCCGAGACUCAGUGAAAUUGAAAUCGCAGUGAAGAUGCUGUGUACCCGCACCUAGACGGAAAGACCCCGUGAACCUUUACUACAGCUUGGCACUGAACAUUGAACCUACAUGUGUAGGAUAGGUGGGAGGCUUUGAAGCACAGUCGCUAGAUUGUGUGGAGCCGUCCUUGAAAUACCACCCUUGUAUGUUUGAUGUUCUAACAUUGUUCCCUUAUCGGGAAUGUGGACAGUGUCUGGUGGGUAGUUUGACUGGGGCGGUCUCCUCCCAAAUAGUAACGGAGGAGCACGAAGGUUAGCUAAUCACGGUCGGACAUCGUGAGGUUAGUGCAAUGGCAUAAGCUAGCUUAACUGCGAGACAGACACGUCGAGCAGGUACGAAAGUAGGUCAUAGUGAUCCGGUGGUUCUGUAUGGAAGGGCCAUCGCUCAACGGAUAAAAGGUACUCCGGGGAUAACAGGCUGAUACCGCCCAAGAGUUCAUAUCGACGGCGGUGUUUGGCACCUCGAUGUCGGCUCAUCACAUCCUGGGGCUGAAGUCGGUCCCAAGGGUAUGGCUGUUCGCCAUUUAAAGUGGUACGCGAGCUGGGUUUAGAACGUCGUGAGACAGUUCGGUCCCUAUCUGGUGUGGGCGUUGGAUGAUUGAUGGGAGCUGCUCCUAGUACGAGAGGACCGGAGUGGACGAACCGCUGGUGUUCGGGUUGUCAUGCCAAUGGCAUUGCCCGGUAGCUAUGUUCGGAACGGAUAACCGCUGAAAGCAUCUAAGCGGGAAGCCGGCCCAAAGAUGAGUCAUCCCUGACCUUUAAGGUCUGGAAGGGUUGUUAUAGACGAUGACGUUGAUAGGCAGGGUGUGGAAGCGUUGUAAGGCGUUAAGCUAACCUGUACUAAUUGCCCGAGAGGCUUAACCAU
Molecule: ribosomal RNA, 2463 nt
Filed under: Alteromonas abrolhosensis
Lineage: Bacteria; Pseudomonadati; Pseudomonadota; Gammaproteobacteria; Alteromonadales; Alteromonadaceae
Description: bacterial LSU rRNA
Source: RNAcentral